This 1299-nucleotide long non-coding RNA is filed under the name Piliocolobus tephrosceles (Ugandan red Colobus). Its description in RNAcentral is "lncRNA (ENSPTEG00000014935.1)". The record is from RNAcentral. Lineage: Eukaryota; Metazoa; Chordata; Mammalia; Primates; Cercopithecidae.
AUGGGAACUAAUGACAAUCAAACAGAAAAGUAUAUAGAUAUUGAAAUGAGUAGAACACCAAAUAAAAAUGAUACAGAAUGUAAGGCUAAAAAAAAAGGAAGCAAUAACAAGGUUAUGUUAUCAAUAACAUUUUUAUUAAUAGGGAUAAGCUGUUUAAAUAUAUGGAACGCAGCUAUUGGUUUAAAUAUGAAGUUAGAAUAUAACACAUAUCAAAUGACAGGUUUAUUACUUUCUUCAAUUACAGCCUUGUUUAUUGAUAUACCUAAAAUAUUAAUGCCAUGUUUCCUUGGUGGAUUAGUUAUUUUAUGUGCAGGUUUUCAAAUCACACAUACAUUUUGUUCUUUAUUUAUAUUUGAGCGUUAUUCUUAUGCUGCUUUUCUGUUAAUUGGUAUAUUAGGAGGGUUAAUUCAAACAAUAGCAUUUAGAAUGUCAACUACAAUGGAAACAAAUUAUAGUGGUUACGUAUCUACAGGAAUUGGUAUAUCUUCAGUUUUUAUUUUUUCAAUAAAUUUAUUACUUGAUGUGAUUGUUAAUGAGGAUAUAAAAUAUGCUAUAAACACAUAUAAAUUACAUAUUUUGUUAUCUGUGUGUGAAGCCUGUAUUAUUAUGACUAUUGUUUUAGUUUUAAUAAAUUUAAAUUUAUCACCAAAAAAUAAAACGCAAACUGAGGACCAGGAAGAAGAAUCAUUAUCGUACGUGGAAUUAUUUAAAGAUGGCUAUAAAGGUAUAAUAUCACUUUUCUUAGUUAAUUGGUUGACUUUACAAUUAUUUCCUGGUGUUGGACAUAAAAAAUGGGAAAAAGUUCAUAACAUAUCUGAUAAAAAUGUUACUAUUUUAGUUGGUAUGUUUCAAUUAUUUGAUUUUGUUAGUAGAUAUCCACCUAAUUUAAGUCAUAUUAAAUAUUUUAAAUAUUUUAAUUUUUCAUUAAAUACGCUAUUAAUAUUUAUUGCUAUCCGAUUUAUAUUUAUCCCAUGGUUUAUUUUUAAUGCAAUUUUUAAAUUUUUUAUAUUUCCAAAUUACAUUCAGCAAUGCAUUUGUUUGGCUUUAUUUGCAUUUACCAACGGUUGGUUUAAUACUGUACCAUUCUUAGCGUUUGUUAAGGAACUGAAAAAGGCAAAAAGUAAAAAAGAAAUAGAAAAAAUAUCAAACCUAAUGGUUGUUGCUUUAUUUGUUGGUUUAUGUGUUGGUAUAUAUACUACUAACAUUUAUGAUCUUAUACCCAUUGAUGUAGCAAAAAAGAGUCCUAUGGAUAGUGUAUAAGUGAAUAAAUAAAUAAAUAAGUAUAUAGGUAUAUAAGUA